GAUGAACGCUGGCGGCGUGCCUAACACAUGCAAGUCGAGCGAACGCACCGGAAGCUGGCGCCCCUGAUGUUGGCGGGGGACGGGAGAGUAACACGUGGAUAACCUACCUAUAAGACUGGGGUAACAUCGCCGGACCGUAGCUACUACCGGAAGAUUUAUUGAACUGCAUGGGUCAAGAGUGAAAGACGGUCGUUCUGACACUUAUAGAUGGACCAGCGCUGCAUUAGCUAGUUGGUAAGGUAACGGCUUACCAAGGCAACGAUGCAUAGCCGCCCCGAGAGGGUGAUCCGCCACCCUGGAACUGAGGAUGGGCCCCCACUCCUGCGCGGGGCAGCGGUCGGGAAUCUUCCGGGAUGGACGAAUGCGUAAUGGUGCAACGCCGCGUGAGUGCUGAAGGUCUUCGGAUCGUAAAGCUCUGUUAUUAGGGAAGAACAAAUGUGUAAGUAACUGUGCUCAUCUUGACGGUACCUAGUCAGAAAGCCCCGGCUAACUCCGUG
This 497-nucleotide ribosomal RNA is filed under the name uncultured bacterium. RNAcentral's name for it is "partial 16S ribosomal RNA". It matches the Rfam family "Bacterial small subunit ribosomal RNA", at positions 28 to 507 of the family's 1533-position model. The record is from RNAcentral.